This 819-nucleotide ribosomal RNA is filed under the name uncultured Megasphaera sp. RNAcentral's name for it is "bacterial SSU rRNA". It matches the Rfam family "Bacterial small subunit ribosomal RNA", at positions 122 to 917 of the family's 1533-position model. The record is from RNAcentral. Lineage: Bacteria; Bacillati; Bacillota; Negativicutes; Veillonellales; Veillonellaceae.
CAACCUGCCUUUGAGAUGGGGACAACAGUUCGAAAGGACUGCUAAUACCGAAUGUUGUGUAUUUCCCACAUGGGAGAUACAUUAAAGAUGGCCUCUAUUUAUAAGCUAUCGCUCAAGGAUGGGUCUGCGUCUGAUUAGCUAGUUGGUGGGGUAAUGGCCUACCAAGGCAACGAUCAGUAGCCGGUCUGAGAGGACGAACGGCCACAUUGGAACUGAGACACGGUCCAGACUCCUACGGGAGGCAGCAGUGGGGAAUCUUCCGCAAUGGGCGAAAGCCUGACGGAGCAACGCCGCGUGAGUGAAGACGGCCUUCGGGUUGUAAAGCUCUGUUAUAUGGGACGAACGUAUCUAUGGCCAAUACCCAUAGAUAGUGACGGUACCGUAAGAGAAAGCCACGGCUAACUACGUGCCAGCAGCCGCGGUAAUACGUAGGUGGCAAGCGUUGUCCGGAAUUAUUGGGCGUAAAGGGCGCGCAGGCGGCCUGUCAAGUCUGUCUUAAAAGUGCGGGGCUCAACCCCGUGAUGGGACGGAAACUGGCAGGCUGGAGUGUCGGAGAGGAAAGCAGAAUUCCUAGUGUAGCGGUGAAAUGCGUAGAUAUUAGGAGGAAUACCAGUGGCGAAAGCGGCUUUCUGGACGACAACUGACGCUGAGGCGCGAAAGCCAGGGGAGCAAACGGGAUUAGAUACCCCGGUAGUCCUGGCCGUAAACGAUGGGUACUAGGUGUAGGAGGUAUCGACCCCUUCUGUGCCGGAGUUAACGCAAUAAGUAUCCCGCCUGGGGAGUACGGCCGCAAGGCUGAAACUCAAAGGAAUUGACGGA